This 426-nucleotide ribosomal RNA is filed under the name uncultured bacterium. RNAcentral's name for it is "partial 16S ribosomal RNA". It matches the Rfam family "Bacterial small subunit ribosomal RNA", at positions 354 to 796 of the family's 1533-position model. The record is from RNAcentral.
GUGAGGAAUUUUCCGCAAUGGGCGAAAGCCUGACGGAGCAAUGCCGCGUGAAGGAUGAAGGCCUAUGGGUUGUAAACUUCUUUUCUCAGAAAAGAAUUAUGACGGUAUCUGAGGAAUGAGCAUCGGCUAACUCUGUGCCAGCAGCCGCGGUAAGACAGAGGAUGCAAGCGUUAUCCGGAAUGAUUGGGCGUAAAGCGUCUGUAGGUUGUUUAAAAAGUAUUCUGUCAAAGAUUAGGGCUUAACCCUAGAUAGGCAGAAUAAACUUUUAAGCUAGAGUUUGGUAGAGGCAGAGGGAAUUCCCGGUGGAGCGGUGAAAUGCGUAGAUAUCGGGAGGAACACCAAAGGCGAAGGCACUCUGCUGGGCCAAUACUAACACUGAGAGACGAAAGCGAGGGGAGCAAAUGGGAUUAGAUACCCGUGUAGUCC